AAUGAACGCUGGCGGCGCGCCUAAUACAUGCAAGUCGAGCGAGAAGACGUAGCAAUACGUUUGUAAAGCGGCGAACGGGUGAGGAAUACAUGGGUAACCUACCCUCGAGUGGGGAAUAACUAGCCGAAGGUUAGCUAAUACCGCGUACGCUUCUUGGACUUCGGUUCAGGGAGGAAAGCGAUACCGUGGGUAUCGCGCUCUUGGAUGGGCUCAUGUCCUAUCAGCUUGUUGGGAGGUAACGGCUCACCAAGGCUUCGACGGGUAGCUGGUCUGAGAGGACGAUCAGCCACACUGGCACUGCGACACGGGCCAGACUCCUACGGGGAGGCAGCAGUAAGGAUAUUGCGCAAUGGGCAAAGCCUGACGCAGCGACGCCGCGUGGGGGAUGAAGGUCUUCGGAUCGUAAACCCCUUUC
Molecule: ribosomal RNA, 415 nt
Filed under: uncultured bacterium
Lineage: Bacteria
Description: bacterial SSU rRNA
Rfam family: Bacterial small subunit ribosomal RNA
Source: RNAcentral